AAAACUUCUUGUGAGAACUUUCUGUUUGCAGACUUUUAGUCUAGAACCUUUACAGGAAAGUCUCUGGAGAGUGGAAAAGCAUCUUCAUGGCAAAGAAGACUUUCUGGUGGUGAAGAUGGUGGACGAUGGUGGGAAAUUUGCACAGUGAGCUCCAGCCUUGGAAACAGCCAGAGUCUCAGCAACUUGAUACUGGCCCUUCUGCCCUUGGUUCCUGCCAGGACUUGACCCCGGUCCUUGUGCCCGCCCAGCUGUGA
Molecule: long non-coding RNA, 254 nt
Filed under: Capra hircus (goat)
Lineage: Eukaryota; Metazoa; Chordata; Mammalia; Artiodactyla; Bovidae
Description: lncRNA (ENSCHIG00000007089.1)
Source: RNAcentral